This is a long non-coding RNA of Mus musculus (house mouse), 694 nucleotides long. RefSeq annotates it as predicted gene, 52349. The record is from RefSeq and is a predicted model, not a curated record. NCBI's taxonomy places the organism in Eukaryota, Metazoa, Chordata, Mammalia, Rodentia, Muridae. The transcript has 3 exons.
UCUGUCUGUUUGUUUGUUUGUUGUUGUUGUUGUUGUUUUUGAGAUAAGGUAGCUCUGGUUGGCCUAAAACUAUGUGGAUCAGGUCAGUCUUGAACUGACUCUGCCUCCUGAGUGUUGAGCAGAAGGUCGUGACUAGAUCUGACUGCAGAUGCUCCCCCCGCACCCCCCGAAGGAACCAAAUUGUUUUAAUGAUGUGUCUCCUCUCCAACUCCUCCUAGCUCCUGGCCUCCCUCACAAUGGAGAAGAAUCCUCUCAAGGCCACGUCUACACUUCCAAAUGAAAAGCAGCAGCUACGAGCUGCUGUCUUCAACAUCUCCAGGACGGUGAUUGAACGUGAUUUCCCUUGGCUGCUUCACACCCUUAGCUCGGUCCUCAUUUGGCUUUGUGUGUUCUUGCAUGGAGGUCACAGAACUCAACUCUUCAGUGCCACUUCACUCCUCUUCUGCACCUGUGACCUAAGCUACAGGUAGCACUGCCUGGCAUCGUGACAGUCUGCAUCCCCAUUACCUUGAGAGCCAGAAAGAAACCUCCUCUAUGGUCCUCAAGAGGGUGUGACCUUCAUCCCCCAACCCCUCAGAAGCAGAGUGAAGAGUUGUAGUCUGACUAGAGCCUGCUACCCAGACUCAGCUCUCCAGAGGCUUGAGUUGGCCUCAGAACCUGGAGCUGCCUUUUGCUUAGGUGUUUGCUGCUGGUG